AAAGGAGUAGGUUCAGUAAGACCCCUUUUUGGCCCCAAAAUAUAACAGUUUUACAAAAUUGUGAAAAUGUAAUCUUUUAGCUAUUCAUUGGAAAGUAUAAUGCUUUUGCUACAUAAAUAUGAUCUGUUUUUGACAAUGCACAUAUAUCGGGUCCUAGCAUCAUAAAGUCACAAUUUUAGCAUUUUAGUUAAAUUUUAGAUGGUUCCGUCCUAAAUGAAAGUGGCCGCAUUCGUGUUCAUUCAUAAUAUUGAAAUGUAAGUUGUAUUUGACA
RNAcentral lists this long non-coding RNA (271 nucleotides) under Mytilus galloprovincialis (Mediterranean mussel). Lineage: Eukaryota; Metazoa; Mollusca; Bivalvia; Mytilida; Mytilidae. The record is from RNAcentral.